GAUGAACGCUAGCGGCAGGCUUAACACAUGCAAGUCGAGGGGCAGCAUGAAGGUUAGCAAUAACCUUUGAUGGCGACCGGCGCAAGGGUGCGUAACGCGUGAGCAACUUGCCCGUUUCUGGGGAAUAACCGGUGGAAACGCCGACUAAUACCCCAUGGUAUCAGAUUGAGGCAUCUUAAUUUGAUUAAAGAAUUUCGGAAACGGAUAGGCUCGCGUGACAUUAGCUAGAUGGCGGGGUAACGGCCCACCAUGGCGACGAUCGGUAGGGGUUCUGAGAGGAAGGUCCCCCACAUUGGAACUGAGACACGGUCCAAACUCCUACGGGAGGCAGCAGUGAGGAAUAUUGGUCAAUGGGCGGAAGCCUGAACCAGCCAAGUAACGUGCAGGAUGACGGCCCUACGGGUUGUAAACUGCUUUUUUGCGGGAAUAAAGCGGCCCACGCGUGGGCCUUUGCAUGUACCGCACGAAUAAGGACCGGCUAAUUCCGUG
RNAcentral lists this ribosomal RNA (489 nucleotides) under uncultured bacterium. Its description in RNAcentral is "bacterial SSU rRNA". It matches the Rfam family "Bacterial small subunit ribosomal RNA", at positions 28 to 507 of the family's 1533-position model. The record is from RNAcentral.